RNAcentral lists this ribosomal RNA (377 nucleotides) under uncultured organism. Its description in RNAcentral is "partial 16S ribosomal RNA". It matches the Rfam family "Bacterial small subunit ribosomal RNA", at positions 527 to 897 of the family's 1533-position model. The record is from RNAcentral.
GUAGGUGGCAAGCGUUGUCCGGGAAUUAUUGGGGCGUAAAAGCGCGCGCAGGCGGUUCUUUAAGUCUGAUGUGAAAGCCCACGGGCUCAACCGUGGAGGGUCAUUGGAAACUGGAGAACUUGAGUACAGAAGAGGAAAGCGGAAUUCCACGUGUAGCGGUGAAAUGCGUAGAGAUGUGGAGGAACACCAGUGGCGAAGGCGGCUUUCUGGUCUGUAACUGACGCUGAGGCGCGAAAGCGUGGGGAGCAAACAGGAUUAGAUACCCUGGUAGUCCACGCCGUAAACGAUGAGUGCUAAGUGUUAGGGGGUUUCCGCCCCUUAGUGCUGCAGCUAACGCAUUAAGCACUCCGCCUGGGGAGUACGGCCGCAAAGGCUGA